AAACCGCCCCCUAAGUUUUGCAACUGUAGCAGUUUUGGCCCCCCAAGGCCAAUUUGUGGUAAAAAAUAAAAUAAAAAAUAACACGUGGCACCUCACUUAGGGUGCCACGUCAGCGUAGACCGAGUCAAAAUUGGCCUUGGGGGCCAAAACUGCCACAGAUGCAAAACUUAGGGGGCGGUUU
RNAcentral lists this microRNA precursor (181 nucleotides) under Medicago truncatula (barrel medic). Its description in RNAcentral is "MIR2619 microRNA precursor family". It matches the Rfam family "MIR2619 microRNA precursor family". The record is from Rfam by way of RNAcentral. Lineage: Eukaryota; Viridiplantae; Streptophyta; Magnoliopsida; Fabales; Fabaceae.